GAUGGACGCUGGCGGCGUGCUUAACACAUGCAAGUCGAACGGGAAACCUUUUAUUGAAGCUUCGGCAGAUUUAGCUGGUUUCUAGUGGCGGACGGGUGGGUAACGCGUGGGUAACCUGCCUUAUACAGGGGGAUAACAGUCAGAAAUGGCUGCUAAUACCGCAUAAGCGCACAGAGCUGCAUGGCUCAGUGUGAAAAACUCCGGUGGUAUAAGAUGGACCCGCGUUGGAUUAGCUGGUUGGUGGGGUAACGGCCCACCAAGGCGACGAUCCAUAGCCGGCCUGAGAGGGUGAACGGCCACAUUGGGACUGAGACACGGCCCAGACUCCUACGGGAGGCAGCAGUGGGGAAUAUUGCACAAUGGGGGAAACCCUGAUGCAGCGACGCCGCGUGAAGGAAGAAGUAUCUCGGUAUGUAAACUUCUAUCAGCAGGGAAGAUAGUGACGGUACCUGACUAAGAAGCCCCGGCUAACUACGUGCCAGCAGCCGCGGUAAUACGUAGGGGGCAAGCGUUAUCCGGAUUUACUGGGUGUAAAGGGAGCGUAGACGGUGUGGCAAGUCUGAUGUGAAAGGCAUGGGCUCAACCUGUGGACUGCAUUGGAAACUGUCAUACUUGAGUGCCGGAGGGGUAAGCGGAAUUCCUAGUGUAGCGGUGAAAUGCGUAGAUAUUAGGAGGAACACCAGUGGCGAAGGCGGCUUACUGGACGGUAACUGACGU
Molecule: ribosomal RNA, 717 nt
Filed under: uncultured bacterium
Lineage: Bacteria
Description: bacterial SSU rRNA
Rfam family: Bacterial small subunit ribosomal RNA
Source: RNAcentral